AAGUCGUAACAAGGUUUCCGUGAGGUAGCAACCUGGCAGGAAGGAUUCAUUACUUGGAUGUUAGGGUCUUCAUGGCCCCGACCUCCAACCCUUGUGUUAAACAUACCACGUUGCUUCGGCGGGCCCGUCCUCUCGAGGACCGCCGGGGAGGUUUCCACCUCUCUGGCCCGUUGCCCGCCGGUGGCCAAACCACAAAACUCUUGAUAAACACUGUCGUCUGAGUUACAUUUAUUUAAUUAAAAAAUAAAA
RNAcentral lists this unclassified non-coding RNA (249 nucleotides) under plant metagenome. RNAcentral describes it as "partial contains small subunit ribosomal RNA and internal transcribed spacer 1". The record is from RNAcentral.